AGAGUUUGAUCCUGGCUCAGGAUGAACGCUGGCGGCGUGCUUAACACAUGCAAGUCGAACGGUGAAGCCCAGCUUGCUGGGUGGAUCAGUGGCGAACGGGUGAGUAACACGUGAGCAACCUGCCCCUGACUCUGGGAUAAGCGCUGGAAACGGCGUCUAAUACUGGAUACGAGUAGCGACCGCAUGGUCAGUUACUGGAAAGAAUUUUGGUUGGGGAUGGGCUCGCGGCCUAUCAGCUUGUUGGUGAGGUAAUGGCUCACCAAGGCGUCGACGGGUAGCCGGCCUGAGAGGGUGACCGGCCACACUGGGACUGAGACACGGCCCAGACUCCUACGGGAGGCAGCAGUGGGGAAUAUUGCACAAUGGGCGAAAGCCUGAUGCAGCAACGCCGCGUGAGGGAUGACGGCCUUCGGGUUGUAAACCUCUUUUAGCAGGGAAGAAGCGAAAGUGACGGUACCUGCAGAAAAAGCACCGGCUAACUACGUG
This 486-nucleotide ribosomal RNA is filed under the name uncultured Microbacterium sp. RNAcentral's name for it is "bacterial SSU rRNA". It matches the Rfam family "Bacterial small subunit ribosomal RNA", at positions 8 to 507 of the family's 1533-position model. The record is from RNAcentral. Lineage: Bacteria; Bacillati; Actinomycetota; Actinomycetes; Micrococcales; Microbacteriaceae.